Molecule: ribosomal RNA, 465 nt
Filed under: Vreelandella stevensii
Lineage: Bacteria; Pseudomonadati; Pseudomonadota; Gammaproteobacteria; Oceanospirillales; Halomonadaceae
Description: partial 16S ribosomal RNA
Rfam family: Bacterial small subunit ribosomal RNA
Source: RNAcentral
CCUAGGGGUGGCUGCAGUGGGGAAUAUUGGACAAUGGGCGAAAGCCUGAUCCAGCCAUGCCGCGUGUGUGAAGAAGGCCUUCGGGUUGUAAAGCACUUUCAGUGGGGAAGAAAGCCUUGGGGCUAAUACCCUCGAGGAAGGACAUCACCCACAGAAGAAGCACCGGCUAACUCCGUGCCAGCAGCCGCGGUAAUACGGAGGGUGCGAGCGUUAAUCGGAAUUACUGGGCGUAAAGCGCGCGUAGGCGGUCUGAUAAGCCGGUUGUGAAAGCCCCGGGCUCAACCUGGGAACGGCAUCCGGAACUGUCAGGCUAGAGUGCAGGAGAGGAAGGUAGAAUUCCCGGUGUAGCGGUGAAAUGCGUAGAGAUCGGGAGGAAUACCAGUGGCGAAGGCGGCCUUCUGGACUGACACUGACGCUGAGGUGCGAAAGCGUGGGUAGCAAACAGGAUUAGAUACCCCGGUAGUC